UGGGGAAUCUUGCGCAAUGGGCGAAAGCCUGACGCAGCAACGCCGCGUGCGGGAUGAAGGCUCUCGGGUUGUAAACCGCUUUCAGCAGGAACGAAAAUGACGGUACUUGCAGAAGAAGGUGCGGCCAACUAUGUGCCAGCAGCCGCGGUGAUACAUAGGCACCAAGCGUUGUCCGGAUUUAUUGGGCGUAAAGAGCUCGUAGGUGGUUCGGUAAGUCGGGUGUGAAAACUUUGGGCUCAACCCAAAGCCUGCAUCCGAUACUGCUGUGACUAGAGUUCGGUAGGGGAGCGGGGAAUUCCUAGUGUAGCGGUGAAAUGCGCAGAUAUUAGGAGGAACACCGGUGGCGAAGGCGCCGCUCUGGGCCGAUACUGACACUGAGGAGCGAAAGCGUGGGUAGCAAACAGGAUUAGAUACCCACGUAGUCCCUGAGCGGGCUGGCAAGGCGCAU
Molecule: ribosomal RNA, 448 nt
Filed under: uncultured bacterium
Lineage: Bacteria
Description: bacterial SSU rRNA
Rfam family: Bacterial small subunit ribosomal RNA
Source: RNAcentral